Molecule: ribosomal RNA, 241 nt
Filed under: uncultured bacterium
Lineage: Bacteria
Description: partial 16S ribosomal RNA
Rfam family: Bacterial small subunit ribosomal RNA
Source: RNAcentral
CGGACGGGUGAGUAACACGUGGAUAACCUACCUAUAAGACUGGGAUAACUUCGGGAAACCGGAGCUAAUACCGGAUAAUAUAUUGAACCGCAUGGUUCAAUAGUGAAAGACGGUUUUGUUGUCACUUAUAGAUGGAUCCGCGCCGCAUUAGCUAGUUGGUAAGGUAACAGCUUACCAAGGCAACGAUGCGUAGCCGACCUGAGAGGGUGAUCGGCCACACUGGAACUGAGACACGGUCCAG